AUGUUAAGCAAAGCUGCUGAUCAUAGCUUGAUAGCAGGGCUCUGCCCUGAGGUUUGUCCUGGUGACAUCAUCUGCCUGCAAUACGCAGAUGAUACCAUCCUUUUCCUAGACAAUGACUCCACCCAUGCUAGCAACCUAAAAACCGUUCUAACUUGUUUUGAGCAAGUCUCAGGGAUGAGAAUUAACUACUCCAAGAGUGAGCUCAUCCCUAUCAACAUGGAUGAUCAGGAGCUAGCUGAUUUUCUUUCUAUUCUAGUUUGUAGUAAAGGUAACUUCCCCAUUAAGUACUUAGGCAUUCCUCUUCACUAUGAUAAGCUGAGAAGAGAAGAUAUCCAACCCCUGCUAGAUAAAAUCAUUAAAAGGAUUGCAGGGUGGAGGGGUAAACUCCUUUCUUACAGAGGGAGAUUGAUCCUCAUCCAAGCCUGUUGGGCUAGCAUCCCAGUGUACCUCCUUUCCUUCUUCAAAUUCCCUAAAUGGGCAGUGAACCUCAUCAACUCUCAGAUGUCUCACUGCUUGUGGAAUGAUUUUGAAGGUCAUAGGAAACUCCACCUUGCUAAAUGGGGCCUAGUCUCUAUGAAAAAAGACUUUGGAGGCUUAGGUAUACCUAACCUCCAAGAAAUUAACAUCUGCCUCCUAGGAUCUUGGAAGUUUCUCAUUAAUCAUAAGUACUUGGCGGAUAAAACUAAUAUUUUUGCCCCCUCCUCCAACCUUAAGACUUCUAGAUUAUGGAAAGGUUUAAAAUCUAUUAUUCAUGCUGUGAAAUUUGGCUAUAGAUGGAGCAUAGGGGAUGGGAGCAGAACCAGGUUUUGGGAAGAUACUUGGUUUGGCACAUCCCCCUAG
Molecule: ribosomal RNA, 840 nt
Filed under: Triticum aestivum (bread wheat)
Lineage: Eukaryota; Viridiplantae; Streptophyta; Magnoliopsida; Poales; Poaceae
Description: partial small subunit ribosomal RNA
Source: RNAcentral